Oryzias latipes (Japanese medaka) is the source of this 1857-nucleotide non-coding RNA. Lineage: Eukaryota; Metazoa; Chordata; Actinopteri; Beloniformes; Adrianichthyidae. The record is from RefSeq and is a predicted model, not a curated record.
CAAAGGGGCCUGCAGGGCAUAAGAGAGAGAAAUCACAUGGCUGCUCUUCAAAAGGGGACCUGUGUAAGGCAGCCGGCAAAGUGCGUGGGAUCACACUCAGAAUGCAGAUGUGUGCAUGAGUGUUUAUGUGGAUGACAGCAUCAGAUGGAGAGUGUCGCAUGCCUUCCUGUUCCUGUACCGCCCUCCAACCCCAGAGCCGCAGACUCAAGGCGGUUUCCAGAAUCAAACAAUUUCACGCAGCUACUGGAGGAGGAAAUGAACUGAGCCCAGAGCAAUAAUAAAAUUAUACAAAUGUUAUUACAGACUUGCCUGCUACUGUCCUACUUUAAUUCAAAUUUGGGCACUCCAGGCGGUGCUGGUGGCAGAGACCUUCCUGAAUAAAUCAACAUUAGCUUACGUCUAAAUUAUUAAGGAAGUGGGAGACUUUCUUGUUUAUAGUAUGAAUUAUUAAACAAGUGUUUAACGCUGUUUUUCUUCAUGAAUCCCCAAAUAUUAAUUGCUAAUGACAUUUAAGGUGUAUGCUGUGUCUUUUUGCCCUCUUUGCUGUUUGCUGAAAAUGAGGAAUUUGAGAAUUCAACUCGCAGGUCUGCUCUUUUCCAGACAAACAAACUUCGAAGUGCAAAUAAAUCUUUGAAACUAUCAUAAAGCCGCGAUUAGUUUUCUCAUUGAACGUAAGCAAGGCGACAUCAAUGAUUAUAAUGUGUUUUCUCUGUAACACCUUGCUAAAAUGUCAUCCAAGACAGUGACAAACAGACAGCUGAGAAAUCUGUGCUUAUUAUCCUGCCAGCUCCUAUUUGUUUCCCAUAAUCAGGAUGUCUGCAGCAACAUUUAGGAAGUUUGUCAGAGGACUCGCAUCUGAUUAGCAGAAUACAAGGUCUUAUGGUUUAAACAAGACUGAGGAAACAAUGAAGGACAGACAUCUUCCUAUGAUGAAAUCUAUUCAUGAUCUUCAGGUGACAGGUCAUUUAAUCUGUCUGAGCCUGUAAUCCAGAUCAAAUCUUUAAAGACAAAAAUCUCUCAUGCAUCACUACCAUGAAUAUUUGUUUUAAUUAAAAAACACUUUUUCAAGAAAUAAGUAUAAAAAAACACAAAAAUGUAUUUACAACUCUUUAUUUAAUAGCAAAUUGAGGCAAUGCCACACUGAAUUAAUGACCUGGUUAAAUUUCAAAUUGAAUUACCACACCAAGGCUUAUGAAAAAAAAAAAACUGACAUUUGUCCACCCAGGCCUAAAUCUUCACAUCUGAGGCUCACGGCUGCCCUCGUCUGGAUGAAACCAAACAAGGAAAUCUCUUUAUUAAUGCAGGAGAUUCACUCUUUGGCCAGCAGGCGAGGCAGUUGCUACAUGUGAGAGCGCACAAAAGGUGGUGUGUCAGACAGAAUAUAGUCUGUGUGGGUAUAAACACAAUGUUGAUUUAGCGUCUAAAUUAUAGCACUCAAGCCUUGAAAACAUUAAGCAUACAGCUUGCAGUAGAAUCUUUCACAGAAAACAAUAUAGAGGUAUUGUGAAAGACAUAAAGUGUAAACAUUCUUUUACAGAUUACCUUUUAUUUCUAAAGUAAAAUUUUCCACUAUGUUACUAUCCAGAAUUAGUUAUUUUUUUGAAAAUAAUUAAUAUAAAUCCAGAUGUAAAAUACCUAGCCCAUCAUCAGUAUAAAUCUGCCUGUUGUUUCACAGUCAAAACAAAACAACAACAAAAAGAAUAUUUUUUACGAUGCAUUUUAUGUUGCAGAGAAAAUCUAAAGCUCUUCUGUUGAUGCAUUUUAGAACAUGCAGACACAAAGAAGAAAACUAGCAUCUAAUUUCUAAUCUGUCCAAACAAGAAAUAAGACAUAGUCCUAAUGGAAAAAAAAAAAAAA